Molecule: ribosomal RNA, 917 nt
Filed under: uncultured bacterium
Lineage: Bacteria
Description: bacterial SSU rRNA
Rfam family: Bacterial small subunit ribosomal RNA
Source: RNAcentral
AGAGUUUGAUCCUGGCUCAGGACGAACGCUGGCGGCGUGCUUAAUACAUGCAAGUCGAGCGAGGUUACUGUUUUGGAUCCCUUUCGGGGUGAAGAAGCUUUAACCUAGCGGCGGACGGGUGAGUAACGCGUGGGUAACCUACCCCAAAGUCCGGGAUAACAGCGGGAAACCGCUGCUAAUACCGGAUGUCUUUACCUUGGGGCAUCUUGAGGUAAAGAAAGGUAACGCUUUGGGAUGGGCCCGCGUCCCAUUAGCUAGUUGGUGAGGUAACGGCUCACCAAGGCGACGAUGGGUAGCCGGCCUGAGAGGGUGGACGGCCACACUGGGACUGAGACACGGCCCAGACUCCUACGGGAGGCAGCAGUAGGGAAUAUUGCGCAAUGGACGGAAGUCUGACGCAGCGACGCCGCGUGAGCGAUGAAGGUCUUCGGAUCGUAAAGCUCUGUCCUUGGGGAAGAAGGCGAAAGCUUGACGGUACCCAAGAAGAAAGCCCCGGCUAACUACGUGCCAGCAGCCGCGGUAAUACGUAGGGGGCGAGCGUUGUCCGGAAUUACUGGGCGUAAAGGGUGCGUAGGCGGCCCUUUAAGUCGGAUGUGAAAGCCCGCGGCUUAACCGCGGAAUGGCAUUCGAAACUGGAGGGCUUGAGUGUCGGAGAGGGUAGUGGAAUUCCCAGUGUAGCGGUGAAAUGCGUAGAUAUUGGGAGGAACACCAGUGGCGAAGGCGACUACCUGGACGAUAACUGACGCUGAGGCACGAAAGCUAGGGGAGCAAACAGGAUUAGAUACCCUGGUAGUCCUAGCCGUAAACGAUGGGUACUAGGUGUGGGUGGUUUCGAUACCAUCCGUGCCGUAGUUAUCGCAUUAAGUACCCCGCCUGGGGAGUACGUGCGCAAGCAUGAAACUCAAAUGAAUUGACGG